This is a long non-coding RNA of Acipenser ruthenus (sterlet), 1959 nucleotides long. RefSeq lists it as uncharacterized. The record is from RefSeq and is a predicted model, not a curated record. The transcript is spliced from 5 exons. NCBI's taxonomy places the organism in Eukaryota, Metazoa, Chordata, Actinopteri, Acipenseriformes, Acipenseridae.
GGAGCACAGCACAGCACAGCACAGCACAGCACAGCACAGCACAGCACAGCACAGCACAGCGCAGCACAGCGCAGCGAAAAGGAAGUACUACUGUUUUCCCAGACUAAAAGCAGCCACUUUUAUAUUCCAUGCUACUCCCCCUGACCCCCAGAUGAUAACCCAAGGACCACAAACCAGGCUCAGCUCAGCUCACCACUUACUGACUCGGGAGCGGAGAAGACGAACACACGCUGUCCCCCGAAACGUGUGCUGUCAGCCAACCGCUUCUUUUCACUCUGGAGAUAUUGUAUACUGGAACAGAGAGUUCAAUCGAGGGUUCCGAGGGUACUUGGAGAGCCAGCAAGAUCCUAAUGUGCACACGGUGUACUGUGUCUGAAGAGUUCUUUAAAACAUUGCUGCAUCAAAGCAACAAGUUCAUUGUGAGUUUUGAAAAAGCAAUUGCGUGUAGAUCCUUUUCCAAGAAGUAACACCUGGAAUUGCCUUGAACCCAACAUUGUCCUUCUCAAUUAAGACUUCAUCACACUGCCUUUCAGCAACCCCACUACGUUUCUGUAUUGAUUGUUUCAAUUCAAUUUUCUGUUGGCUUGAAAAACAGCGCCAACAAGAAGAACAAAAGACUAAAGCUCAGUGGGAUGGCUUCUGACACCUGCAAAACAUUCCCCUCCAGGGUAUUAAAGCAUUCUAAAAGCACAGUAAAGAUAUUGGUUAGGGUUACCGCCAGGGUAUUAAAGUAUUCUAAAAUAUAUUGUAAACACAAAAGAAUCAAAGCAUUCUGAAUAUUAUUAUAGUAACCAGAAUCAGUGUACAUUCACCAACAGUUAACAGAUCCACAAUGUAGAACAAAUAUGAAAUAUAUACUAGUAACUGAAUUCAAGUCUUACUAAAUCAAUGAAUGAAUUCAACAAGAAAUGUAGAGAUGUUGGCAAAAAAUACUAGGUCCACGAAGAGGACAUAGCAUAGUUCAUUAGUUUAAGUUUAUAUACAGUUGUAACAAAAUAUCCAAUACACACUUUUUGUAUGACUCUCCCAGAUCACUGGACAGCUUUUCACACCCACACAGCAAGCUGGCUGAGCAGAGAUUGCUUAUUCCAAAGCCAUUGUAAAGCAGUUGAGUGUUAAAGAUUGUGGCUGUAGCAGAGUUGUACCAAUGUUUUACCUGCACAGUGAUCAGUUUGUACACUUCACAGUUUAGGCAAUAAUUGAAAAUAUUGAUGAGACUAAGAGUGUCGUGCUCAGAUGCCCAUGGUGUAAUUUAGUAUGCCUUUACACCAAUGACUUUAUGUUCUUCCUGUAUAUAUUAUAAUGAGGUCUGUUUAUAAUACGAUAUCUACUAUCAAGUCAAUUAAGGGAAAGGAAAAUAAAAAUUGGCCACAGUCAAGUGUGAAAGUUUUAUAGAAUACAGUAGUAGAAAUACCUCAUAAUAUUUCUUGGGGUUGCAUCCAAAAAAGAUUUUAAAAAUACCAAUAGUUUAACGUCUUCUGAGAAGGACUUCACAUUCAUGUACUUUCUAGGAACACAAUUAAACAAAUGUGUGUGUGUGUGAGGUCUGCAGCUUCACAGUUAGGGUUAGCACCAGCAGAAAAAUCUCUCCAGAUAAGAGCCGCCAUGUUUGCUCAGGGCAUGGGACGAGCAUGACCCCUCACAUUCUGAUUCUCAACCACCCUGAUCCUGUCGUAGCAAAGAUAAUAAGGGAGCGUUCUAUUAAAUACAGAAACUAACCCGUGGAAAAAGAUAAAGGCUAUUCCUAAAACGAGAACCCUCCCCUCUGCACACAUUUACUAAAUACUUUCAAUGCAGUGGAACUCCAGAAUGUUACCUUUUGGAAUGCAGGAUCAUUAGAGUGGAAAUGUGCAAUCUGGAGAAACACAGUAAUAAUGUCUCGGUGCAAAAUCAAGUUUUGUUUGGGCAUAAAUCCACAUAGGGAUUACUAGUGCUAUCAGGAGGCAAUUCAUUUACCAG